Molecule: ribosomal RNA, 291 nt
Filed under: Triticum aestivum (bread wheat)
Lineage: Eukaryota; Viridiplantae; Streptophyta; Magnoliopsida; Poales; Poaceae
Description: partial small subunit ribosomal RNA
Source: RNAcentral
AUGGUUGAGUCAGGAAAGCAUGAAUAAUAUUAUAUUGUUUACAAACUUCUUAAUUUGGUGCUCAUUAUUCCGAUAGCCACUUCUAGUAUUGAAAGGGUAUUUUCCUUAGUGAACUAUGUGGAGAAUCAACUAAGGAACAAAAUUGUUGAUGAAUAUUUAAACAAUUGUUGGGUUACAUUUGUUAAAAGAGAAUUCUUCAGGGAAUUAAACAUGAGGAUGUCAUCAAUCACUUCCAAAAAAGGGGAUCAUAUAGUUAUAUUGUACUUUCCUUUGUUUUGUAAUCUUUAUUAA